UUUUGGACAAUGGGCGCAAGCCUGAUCCAGCCAUUCCGCGUGAGUGAAGAAGGCCUUCGGGUUGUAAAGCUCUUUCGCAAGGGAAGAAAGAUUACUCUCUAAUAUAGAGUGAUUAUGACGGUACCUUGAUAAGAAGCACCGGCUAACUACGUGCCAGCAGCCGCGGUAAUACGUAGGGUGCGAGCGUUAAUCGGAAUUACUGGGCGUAAAGCGUGCGCAGGCGGUUUUGUAAGUCAGAUGUGAAAUCCCCGAGCUCAACUUGGGAACUGCGUUUGAAACUACAAGACUAGAAUAGGUCAGAGGGGGGUAGAAUUCCACGUGUAGCAGUGAAAUGCGUAGAGAUGUGGAGGAAUAUCAAUGGCGAAGGCAGCCCCCUGGGAUCAUAUUGACGCUCAUGCACGAGG
This 404-nucleotide ribosomal RNA is filed under the name uncultured bacterium. RNAcentral's name for it is "bacterial SSU rRNA". It matches the Rfam family "Bacterial small subunit ribosomal RNA", at positions 362 to 758 of the family's 1533-position model. The record is from RNAcentral.